This 240-nucleotide unclassified non-coding RNA is filed under the name soil metagenome. RNAcentral describes it as "partial contains 5.8S ribosomal RNA, internal transcribed spacer 2, and large subunit ribosomal RNA". The record is from RNAcentral.
AACGCACGAGACCUGCGGACCUGCGGAGGGAUCAUUAAUUAAUUUUGGAAAAAUAUUUCUUUUUCCAAUCUUUACCUUUACUGUGAAUCGUAUUUAACUAUAUGACGUUUUGAGGGAUGUCCAAAUUGUUAUAUGGGUAGACAUUUGGAAUGAUUUUUAACCUAGUCAUAGUCAAGCUUAGGCUUGGUACCCUAUUUAUUAUUUACCAAAAGAAUUCAGAAUUUUAAAUUGUAACAUAGA